UACGGAGGGUGCAAGCGUUAUCCGGAUUCACUGGGUUUAAAGGGUGCGUAGGUGGGAAUGUAAGUCAGUGGUGAAAUCUCCGUGCUUAACAUGGAACUGCCAUUGAUACUAUGUUUCUUGAAUUUUCUGGAGGUCAGCGGAAUAUGUCAUGUAGCGGUGAAAUGCUUAGAUAUGACAUAGAACACCAAUUGCGAAGGCAGCUGACUACAGGGACAUUGACACUGAGGCACGAAAGCGUGGGGAUCAAACAGG
RNAcentral lists this ribosomal RNA (252 nucleotides) under uncultured bacterium. RNAcentral describes it as "partial 16S ribosomal RNA". It matches the Rfam family "Bacterial small subunit ribosomal RNA", at positions 524 to 776 of the family's 1533-position model. The record is from RNAcentral.